RNAcentral lists this microRNA precursor (59 nucleotides) under Gadus morhua (Atlantic cod). RNAcentral describes it as "Gmo-Novel-1_pre stem-loop". Lineage: Eukaryota; Metazoa; Chordata; Actinopteri; Gadiformes; Gadidae. The record is from RNAcentral.
UUAAGCUGAGAAGUACAGACUGUUUGACCAACAUUAAGUCUGUACGUCUCAGCUUAACG